UACAGGGUAAAGAAAGAGGUGUGUAUUUCUACUUUCUACAAAUUUCUAUUUGUUACAUAUAGCGAUAGGUAAAUAUAACAUUAACGAUCUGCUUUGAAUCCAUUGUUCCUGUGAUUUAUAGGCAGAUUUAAAGGACAGUCUGGACACCAUAACAUUGCCCACGGAGAAACUGUCGGAUUUCAUUUUGGUAAUGCUGUAAAGGAAGUCUAGUCGAGUGGUAUCAGACCCAUAUAAGUAUCAAACUGUCUAAAACAGCUCAACUGGGAGGCAUCAGAGGUCUCCUGGCACCAUUAUUACUACAAAAGUCCUAUUUUAUGGUGAAAUGAUAAAUAAGAACACCUAAACAGAAUCCGUGCAUUCCUAUCCAAGAUGAAUAUUUUUAAGACAUGAACGGCCUCUGCAAAGAGAUUUCCAUGUCUGGAUAAGUGAGCAGUAGUUUGAAGAGGUAAAUCCUUGUGUCCCCUACGUGUAGUGGCCAUAUACCCACAGACCUCCUGGUUACACUGCACAGGUUUUCAUUAUAACCAGAGCAUACUAGGUUAAGAAAGUGGCGUCGGCCUUGCCUCUGUGUCAGAUAUUGCUGCAUUUGAAAAGGAAUCCGUGACAUGAAGUGGUUAAACCUUUUGGAAUACUGAUUUCACUUUUUGUAUAAUAAAUGUGCGAGCUGAUCUUGUCACCUAAUGCAAAGUUUAUGCAACAAGUAAAUGCUGAGCUCUUCAUCCAGAAUGCUAACUAUGAAAAUUAAAUAAAACAAAUGGAGGUUUCCUCAAACUAUCUUUUAAUCAGAAUGAAUUCAGCCCAAUGUACAAUGCUAUGGGUCUGUAAUAGAGUUGAGCGAACCCGAACUAUAAAGUUCGGGCUCGUACUGAACAUUAUGAUUUUUUUGACCCGAACCCAAACCUGGACAUUUUAGUAACAGUUCGAGUUGGAGUUCGGUGUUUGGCGAUUUAAUGACACAUUUUGAAAAGCUGCAGGGCAGCCAAUCAACAAGUGUUUGACUCGUGUGCCCUUAGAAGCCUUCACAGCCAUGCCUACUAAUGGCAUGGCUGUGAUUGGCCAGUGCAGCAUGUGACCCAGCCUCUAUAUAAGCUGGAGUCACACAUCGCCACACGUCACAUGAGCUCUUAUUAGUAUAGGGAGAGGAUGCUACAGCUGUGAGGGACAGAUUAGGAAAGAAUUCUGGUGUUGAAUCUGCCAACUACAGCGGUUAUUUUUGUGGGUGCUAUACUACAUUUUUGUACUCUGCCCUGAGCCCAGUGCCACAGAGAAAUAAGCAAUCAGUCUGUUUGUUAGGUGGGCGUCGGCGGCCAUUUUUGCAAGUGCAGUACACUUGCAACUGCAUGUGUGCCAGGCACAUUACUUUAAUCAUGUUCUGGUAGCACAGUGGGCAACUUCUAGGCAUUUUUAAAUACUGCUGUGACAUUGCAGUCUGACAGAUUUACAUUUUGGUGCUAAAAAUUAAAUUUGGGGUAUGCACUUCAUAUCUGAGAGUCAAAUAGAACCGUCAAAUACUGCUGUGACAUUGCAGUUUGACUAAUUCAAAUGUUGUUGGUGCUAAAAAGUAAAUUUGGGGCAUGAACUUCAUAUCUGAGAGUCAAAUAGAACCGUCAAAUACAGCUGUGACAUUGCAGUUUGACUAACACAUUUUUUUGGUGCUAAAAAUUUAAUUUGGGGUGUGCACUUCAUAAUUGAGAGUCAAAUAGAACCGUCAAAUACUGCUGUGACAUUGCAGUUUGACUAAUUCAAAUGUUGUUGGUGCUAAAAAGUAAAUUUGGGGUGUGCACUUCAUAUCUGACAGUGAAAUAGAAAUGUCAAAUACUGUGGUUACAUUGCACUUUGAAAAAUUCUAAAUUUUUUGGUGCUAAAUUGUACAUUUGCGGCCUGCGGUGCAUUUCUUGCAGUCCAAUAAAACUGUUAAAUACUACUGUUACAUUGUUUGACAAAUUCACAUUUUUUGAGACAGUGAAGUAACUGUAUUAAUUACGCUUGUCACACUGUUGUGUGACCUCUAGAAAUGUUUUCUCUUUAGGACACUGGCACUGCCUUACUGUCAGUGAACUUAAUUGUUGACUAUUGGCGGUUACAUUGUAGCCUGACAUAAACCAUCUGUUAGUCUGGUGGGUGAAUGCACAGAAUCGGGGGGCGUCAAAUAAGGGACGUGACCCUGGUCGUGGUGCUGCUGGUGUUGGUGGAGCUCCUGUUGCAGGGAGAGGACGUGGUCGAUCUGUGCCAGCUAUACGCACAAGUGAAACACCUUCCUCAGGUGCUAGUAGGCGACCGCACCUUCAGCGUUAUUUGGUAGGCCCGAAUGCCGAUCUACGAAUGGUGAGGCCAGAACAACUACAGGUGAUAAUAGAUUGGGUGGCUGACAGUGCCUCCAGUUCCUUCACAUUGUCUUCCACCCUGUCCCCUGCUGAAAGCUCAGAGUUGGCACCUGCAGCCCAUGGCCAUCUGUCUUUCAAAUCACUCACUUGCAAAUCAGCCAAGCAGUCUGAGCCACAAGUCAUGCAACAGUCUCUUAUGCUUUUUGAUGACUCUGCUGGCGGGGUUUCCGUGGGCCAUCCACCUAGCCCUGCCUCAGAAGUGGAAGAGAUUAAGAUUGAGACUGAUGUACAACCACUUAUGUUUCAGGAUGUGGACAUGCGAGGACCACCGCAGCACGUCUCCGAUGAUGACGAAACACAGAUGCCAACUGCUGUGGCUCUCUGCAGUGAGCAGACCGGCAAGGAGGGCAGGGUUGAGGAGUGGGUGGAAGAUGAUGUGGAGGAUGAUGAGGUCCUAGACCCCACAUGGAAUGAAGGUCAUGCGAGUGACGUGUGCAGUUUGGAGGAAGAGGCGGUGGUCGCACAGAGGCACCAGCACAGCAUAAGAGGGAGCAGGGUGCAAAAGCGGAGCGGCCGUCCCAUAGACAGUACGCCUGCUACUGCCCACCGCACACAGGGACCGAGCACACCAAAGCCAGCUACAAGGAGUUCCCUGGCGUGGCAGUUCUUCAGACAAUGUGCUGACGACAAGACACGCUGUGCAAUCAGAGCCUGAAGCGAGGCAUAAACGUUCUAAACCUGAGCACAACCUGCAUGACCAGGCAUCUACAUGCAAAGCACGAGCUGCAGUGGAGUAAGCACCUCAAAGAAAGGUCUCAUGCUACUCCUGCUUCCUCUUCUGCUGCUGUCUUGGCCUCUUCCUCCACCUCUGGAGUGACAGUGGCACCUGCCACCCCGCAAACAGAGGAUGUGGCAGCAACGCCACCACGUCCGCCACCGUCCCCAAGCAUCUCCACACUGUCCCAUGGAAGCGUUCAGCUGUCCAUCUCCCAAACACUGGAGAGAAAGAGGAAGUACCCCCUGCCCACCCGCGAUCCCUGGCCCUGAAUGUCAGCAUUUCAAAAUUCCUGGCCUUUGAAAUGCUGUCAUUCCGUCUGGUGGAGACAGUUUUAAAAACCUGAUGGCGGUGGCUGUCCCACAGUACGUGGUUCCAGCCAACACUACUUUUCAAGGUGAGCCAUCCCUUCCCUGCACAACCAAUAGGCGGACAAAAUCAGGUGUGCACUGCGCAACGCCAUCUGUGGCAAGGUCCACAUAACUACUGAUACGUGGACCAGUAAGCACAGUCAGGGACGCUAUAUCUCCCUAACUGCACACUGGGCAAAUGUUGUGGCGGCUGGGCCUGAGGCGGAUCGCAGUUUGGCGCAUGUCCUUCCGCCACCGAGGAUUGCAGGGCAUUUCUCUUUGCCUCCCGUUGCCUCCUCCUCCUACUCUGCUUCCUCCUCCUCUACCACCUCCUCAUCCGGUCAGCGUAACACCUUCAUCACCAACUUCAGCACAGCCAGGGGGAAACAACAGCAGGUUGUUUUAAAAUUCAUAUGUUUGGGGGGAAAACCCCACACCGCGCAGGAGCUGUGGACGGGCAUGGAACAACAGACCGAUGAGUGGUUGUUGCCACUGAGCCUCAAGCCCGGCCUGGUGGUGUGCGAUAAUGGGCGAAAUCUCGUAGCAGCUCCGGGCCUAGCCGGUUUGACACACAUCCCUUGCCUGGCGCAUGUGCUGAAUUUGGUGGUGCAGAAAUUCCUGAAAAACUACCCAGAUAUAUCAGAGCUGCUGCAGAAAGUGCGGGCUGUCUGUGCGCGCUUUCGGCGUUCUCACCCUGCUGCUGAUCGCCUGUCUACGCUGCAGCGUAACUUCGGCCUUCCCGCUCACCGCCUCAUAUGCGACGUGCCCACAAGGUGGAACUCCACCUUGCACAUGCUGGAGAGCAGCAGCAGACGAUAGUAGAGUUUCAGCUGCAGCACACACGGUCAGUCGCUCUGCGGAACAGCACCACUUCACCACCAAUGAGUGGGCCUCUAUACGAGACCUGUGUGCCAUGUUGUGCUGUUUCGAGUACACCAUUGACACAUAGAAUGUGACAGCAGAUAAGAACCAUUCUGCCCAAUUUUCUAAAUACCUUAUCUUAUAAUUAGGAUAGCUUUAUGCCUAUCCCACGCAUGCUUAAACUCCUUUACUGUGUCAACCUCUACCACUUCAGCUGGAAGGCUAUUCCAUGCAUCCACUACCCUCUCAGUAAAGUAAUACUUUCUGAUAUUAUUUUUAAACCUUUGCCCCUCUAAUUUAAGACUAUGUCCUUUUGUUGUGGUAGUUUUUCUUCUUUUAAAUAUGGUCUCCUCCUUUACUGUGUUGAUUCCCUUUAUGUACUUAAAUGUUUCUAUCAUAUCCCCCCUGUCUCGUCUUUCUUCCAAGCUAUACAUGUUAAGAUCCUUUAACCUUUCCUGGUAAGUUUUAUCCUGCAAUCCAUGAACCAGUUUAGAAGCCCUUCUCUAAACUCUCUCUAAGGUUUCAAUAUCCUUCUGAAGAUACGGUCUCCAGUAUUGCGUACAAUACUCCAAGUGAGAUCUCACCAGUGUUCUGUACAAUGGCAUGAGCACUUCCCUGUUUCUACUGCUAGCAUUUCCUCCUGGUCUAUUACAUUGUCUGCCUACCUUUAAGUCAUCAGAAAUAAUCACCCCUAAAUCCCUUUCCUCAGAUGUUGAGGUUAGGACUCUAUCAAAUAUUCUGUACUCUGCCCUUGGGUUUUUACAUCCAAGAUGCAUUAUCUAGCACUUAUCCACAUUAAAUGUCAGUUGCCACAACUCUGACCAUUUUUCUAGUUUGCCUAAAUCAUUUGUCAUUUGGCUUAUCCCUCCUGGAACCCUGUUACAUAUCUUAGUAUCAUCAGCAAAAAGACAUACCUUACCAUCAAGACCUUCUGCAAUAUCACUAAUAAAAAUAUUAAAGAGAAUGGGUCCAAGUACAGAUCCCUGAGGUACCCCACUGGUGACUACAACCCUCUGUUGCCUGUCACUCAGCCACUGCCUUACCCACUCAACAACAUUGGAAUCCAAACUUAAAGAUUGCAAUUUAUUGAUAAGUCUUCUAUGUGCAACAGUGUCAAAAGCCUUACUGAAAUCUAGGUAAGCGAUGUCUACUGCACCACCCUGGUCUAUAAAAAUCAAUAAGAUUAGUUUGGCAUGAUCUCCCUGAAGUAAGCCCAUUUUGUCUCUGAUCUUGAAAUCCAUGUGUUUUUAGAUGUUCACCAAUCCUAUCCUUUAACAUGGUUUCCAUUACUUUCCCCACUACUGAAGUAAGGCUUACUGGCCUAUAGUUGCCCGACUCCUCCCUAUUACCUUUCUUGUGAAUGGGCACAACAUUCUCUAACUUCCAAUCUUCUGGGACUACUCCUGUUAUCAAUGAUUGGUUAAAUAAAUCUGUUAAUGGUUUUGCUAGUACACCACUAAGCUCUUUUAAUAACUUUGGGUGUAUUCCAUCAGGUCCCAUUGACUUAUUUGUCUUUACUUUUGACAGUUGAAAUAGAACCUCUUCCACUGUAAACCCACAUGUAAUAAAUGACUCAUUUCCACGGUUAUCAGGCCAGUCAUUAACAGUGGCUUGGAGGGUGGGCUCUUGCACCAGCAUAGGCCAGGUACACAAUUGUCCAGCCAGGGCACAGUUCUGGAGGAGGAGGAGGAACCGUGUUCACAGCAGGGUGGCACCCAAUGCAGCUCGUGGGCAUCACUGGAGUGUGGCUGGGGGUAUUUGGAGGACACAGACGAUACACCUCCCACAGAGGACAGCUUGUCCUUGCCUCUGGGCAGCCUGGCACACGAGCGACUACAUGCUGCAGUGCCUGCGCAACAACUGCGGAGUUGCCCACAUUCUAACUUGUGCUGAUUACUGGGUGGCAAGCCUGCUGUAUCCCCGUUACAAGGACAACAUGCCGUCCUUAAUUCCCUCACUGGAGCGUGAUCGGAAGAUGCGCGACUACAAGCGCACGCUGGUGGACUUGCUGCUGAGGGCAUUCCCAACUGACAUCGGGGGCUCAGUGGAAGCACAAGGCGAAGGCAGAGGAGGAGGAAGAGGUCGCCAACGCAGCUGGGGCACCGCCAGCACCUCAGAAGGCAGGGUUAGCAUGGCCGAAAUGUGGAAAAGCUUUGUCAGCAUGCCACAACAACCAGCACCACCAGCUGAUAUGGAAAGUCUUAGCAGGAGGCAGCAUUUCAGCAACAUGGUGGAACAGUACGUGUGCACACGCCUACAUGUACUGACUGGGUCUGCCCCAUUCAACUUCUGGGUCUCCAAAUUGGGCACAUGGCCUGAGCUUGCCCUUUAUUCCUUGGAGGCGCUGGCCUGCCCUGCAGCCAGUGUAUUGUCUGAAUGUGUGUUUAGCACGGCAGGGGGCGUUAUCACAGACAAGCGCAGCCGCCUGUCCACAGCCAAUGUGGACAAGCUCACGUUUAUUAAAAUGAACCAGGCAUGGAUCCCACCAGACUUGUCUGUACCUUGUGCAGAAUAGGCAUUUAUACCGGACUCACCCAGCCAUUGUUAUACUCAAGUGCGCUUAUUCUUUGUUUUCUUUUUUUAUAUGUCCCAAUAUUUUUGGGGCUACCCCAAAAAAUAAAAAACAGUGUUGGCUACCUCCUCCUCCUCC
Molecule: long non-coding RNA, 6960 nt
Filed under: Pelobates cultripes (western spadefoot toad)
Lineage: Eukaryota; Metazoa; Chordata; Amphibia; Anura; Pelobatidae
Source: RNAcentral